GGCUCAGAUUGAACGCUGGCGGCAGGCCUAACACAUGCAAGUCGRGCGGUAGAGAGAAGCUUGCUUCUCUUGAGAGCGGCGGACGGGUGAGUAAUGCCUAGGAAUCUGCCUGGUAGUGGGGGAUAACGUUCGGAAACGGACGCUAAUACCGCAUACGUCCUACGGGAGAAAGCAGGGGACCUUCGGGCCUUGCGCUAUCAGAUGAGCCUAGGUCGGAUUAGCUAGUUGGUGAGGUAAUGGCUCACCAAGGCGACGAUCCGUAACUGGUCUGAGAGGAUGAUCAGUCACACUGGAACUGAGACACGGUCCAGACUCCUACGGGAGGCAGCAGUGGGGAAUAUUGGACAAUGGGCGAAAGCCUGAUCCAGCCAUGCCGCGUGUGUGAAGAAGGUCUUCGGAUUGUAAAGCACUUUAAGUUGGGAGGAAGGGUUGUAGAUUAAUACUCUGCAAUUUU
RNAcentral lists this ribosomal RNA (454 nucleotides) under Pseudomonas sp. R-46241. RNAcentral describes it as "bacterial SSU rRNA". It matches the Rfam family "Bacterial small subunit ribosomal RNA", at positions 21 to 471 of the family's 1533-position model. RNAcentral also lists the same sequence under 1 other name. The record is from RNAcentral. Lineage: Bacteria; Pseudomonadati; Pseudomonadota; Gammaproteobacteria; Pseudomonadales; Pseudomonadaceae.